CCUACGGGAGGCAGCAGUGAGGAAUAUUGGUCAAUGGGCGUAAGCCUGAACCAGCCAAGUCGCGUGAGGGAUGAAGGUUCUAUGGAUCGUAAACCUCUUUUAUAAGGGAAUAAAGUGCGGGACGUGACCAGUAUUGUAUGUACCUUAUGAAGAAGGAACGGCUAACACCGGGCCAGCAGCCGCGGUAAUACGGAGGAUCAGAGCGUUAUCCGGAUUUAUUGGGUUUAAAGGGUGCGUAGGCGGCCUUGUAAGUCAGCGGUGAAAGUCUGUGGCUCAACCAUAGAAUUGCCGUUGAAACUGGGAGGCUUGAGUGUGUUUGAGGCAAGUGGAAUGCGUGGUGUAGCGGUGAAAUGCUUAGAUAUUACGCAGAACCCCGAUUGCGAAGGCGGCCUGCCAGGCCAUGACUGACGCUGAUGCACGAAAGCGUGGGGAUCAAACAGGAUUAGAUACCCGGGUAGUC
RNAcentral lists this ribosomal RNA (460 nucleotides) under uncultured bacterium. RNAcentral's name for it is "partial 16S ribosomal RNA". It matches the Rfam family "Bacterial small subunit ribosomal RNA", at positions 338 to 795 of the family's 1533-position model. The record is from RNAcentral.